AGAAUCAACGCUGGCGGCGUGCCUAACACAUGCAAGUCGCACGAGAAAGUGGAGCAAUCCAUGAGUACAGUGGCGCACGGGUGAGUAACACGUGAAUGAUCUACCUCCGAGUGGGGAAUAACUGAGAGAAAUCUUAGCUAAUACCGCAUAAUACCCACGGGUCAAAGCAGCAAUGCGCUUGGAGAGGAGUUCGCGGCCGAUUAGCUAGUUGGCGGGGUAAUGGCCCACCAAGGCGAUGAUCGGUAUCCGGCCUGAGAGGGCGCACGGACACACUGGAACUGAAACACGGUCCAGACUCCUACGGGAGGCAGCAGUGGGGAAUUUUGCGCAAUGGGGGAAACCCUGACGCAGCAACGCCGCGUGGAGGAUGAAAUCCCUUGGGAUGUAAACUCCUUUCGAUAGGGAAGAUUAUGACGGUACCUAUAGAAGAGCCCGGCUAACUUCGCGCCAGCAGCCGCGGUAA
Molecule: ribosomal RNA, 463 nt
Filed under: uncultured bacterium
Lineage: Bacteria
Description: SSU rRNA
Rfam family: Bacterial small subunit ribosomal RNA
Source: RNAcentral